ACAAACGCUUCAGUUAUAGAAUGUUUACUUGCGUAUAACGCAUUUAUAUACAACUUUCAGCAACGGAUCUCUUGGCUCUCGCAUCGAUGAAGAACGCAGCGAAAUGCGAUAAGUAAUGUGAAUUGCAGAAUUCAGUGAAUCAUCGAAUCUUUGAAC
RNAcentral lists this ribosomal RNA (156 nucleotides) under Hyphodermella rosae. RNAcentral's name for it is "5.8S ribosomal RNA". The stretch from base 52 to 156 matches the Rfam family "5.8S ribosomal RNA", at positions 1 to 105 of the family's 154-position model. From Rfam's summary of the family: 5.8S ribosomal RNA (5.8S rRNA) is a component of the large subunit of the eukaryotic ribosome. The record is from RNAcentral. Lineage: Eukaryota; Fungi; Basidiomycota; Agaricomycetes; Polyporales; Phanerochaetaceae.